AGGUUAAGCUAGAAAGGGCGCACGGUGAAUGCCUUGGCACUAGGAGCCGAAGAAGGACGCGACGAACAGCGAAAUGCCUCGGGGAGCUGUAAGUAAGCUUUGAUCCGGGGAUAUCCGAAUGGGGGAACCCACCAUCCGUAAUGGGAUGGUACCCAUACCUGAAU
This 164-nucleotide ribosomal RNA is filed under the name Alkalihalophilus pseudofirmus. Its description in RNAcentral is "Bacillus pseudofirmus partial 23S ribosomal RNA". It matches the Rfam family "Bacterial large subunit ribosomal RNA", at positions 1 to 163 of the family's 2925-position model. Lineage: Bacteria; Bacillati; Bacillota; Bacilli; Caryophanales; Bacillaceae. The record is from RNAcentral.